GUGUCAGCAGCCGCGGUAAUACAGAGGGUGCGAGCGUUGUCCGGAAUCACUGGGCGUAAAGGGCGCGUAGGCGGCUGGCUAAGCGGGUGGUGAAAGCCCGGGGCUCAACCCCGGGUCGGCCAUGCGAACUGGUCAGCUGGAGCACGGUAGAGGCACAUGGAAUUCCGGGUGUAGCGGUGGAAUGCGUAGAGAUCCGGAAGAACACCGGUGGCGAAGGCGGUGUGCUGGGCCGUAGCUGACGCUGAGGCGCGACAGCGUGGGGAGCAAACAGGAUUAGAAACCCUCGUAGUCC
Molecule: ribosomal RNA, 292 nt
Filed under: uncultured bacterium
Lineage: Bacteria
Description: partial 16S ribosomal RNA
Rfam family: Bacterial small subunit ribosomal RNA
Source: RNAcentral